Molecule: ribosomal RNA, 2844 nt
Filed under: Pseudooceanicola marinus
Lineage: Bacteria; Pseudomonadati; Pseudomonadota; Alphaproteobacteria; Rhodobacterales; Paracoccaceae
Description: bacterial LSU rRNA
Rfam family: Bacterial large subunit ribosomal RNA
Source: RNAcentral
GAUCGGAUCAAGCGCGAGAAGGGCGUUUGGUGGAUGCCUUGGCAGCAAGAGGCGAUGAAGGACGUGAUACUCUGCGAUAAGCUAGGGGGAGCCGAGAAUAGGCUUUGAUCCCUGGAUCUCCGAAUGGGGCAACCCACCUGACAGCAAGUUAUAAUAGCCGCGCAAGCGGUGAUUUAUAACCUGUUGAACCAGGUACUUCUUACCUGAACACAUAGGGUUUGAAGAGCAAACCCGGGGAACUGAAACAUCUAAGUACCCGGAGGAAAGGACAUCAAUUGAUACUCCCCUAGUAGCGGCGAGCGAACGGGGACCAGCCGAGCCGUGAAUGUGACCAGAACUGUUUGGAAAGACAGACCAUAGUGGGUGACAGUCCCGUAUGGGAAGCAUGAUCGGACGUAUUAAGUAGGGCGGGACACGUGAAAUCCUGUCUGAAGAUCGGAGGACCACCUUCGAAGGCUAAGUACUCCUUGCUGACCGAUAGCGAACCAGUACCGUGAGGGAAAGGUGAAAAGCACCCCGACGAGGGGAGUGAAACAGUACCUGAAACCGAACGCCUACAAUCAGUCGGAGGCUCCUCGAGAGCUGACGGCGUACCUUUUGUAUAAUGGGUCAUCGACUUGGUCUCACGAGCAAGCUUAAGCCGAUAGGUGUAGGCGCAGCGAAAGCGAGUCUUAAUAGGGCGUCGAGUUCGUGGGAUCAGACCCGAAACCGAGUGAUCUAGGCAUGACCAGGAUGAAGGUACGGUAACACGUACUGGAGGUCCGAACCCACACCUGUUGAAAAAGGUCGGGAUGAGUUGUGCCUAGGGGUGAAAGGCCAAUCAAACUCGGAGAUAGCUGGUUCUCCGCGAAAUCUAUUUAGGUAGAGCGUCAUCCGAAUACCCCGGGGGGUAGAGCACUGGAUGGGUAAUGGGGCCCCACAGGCUUACUGAUCCUAACCAAACUCCGAAUACCCGGGAGUACUAGAUGGCAGACACACUGCGGGUGCUAACGCCCGUAGUGGAGAGGGAAACAACCCUGACCUCCAGCUAAGGCCCCCAAUUCAUGGCUAAGUGGGAAAGCAGGUGGGACGACCAAAACAACCAGGAGGUUGGCUUAGAAGCAGCCAUCCUUUAAAGAUAGCGUAACAGCUCACUGGUCUAAUCAAGUUGUCCUGCGGCGAAGAUGUAACGGGGCUCAAGCCAUGAGCCGAAGCUGAGGACUGCGUAUGCAGUGGUAGCGGAGCGUAGUGUGACAUAGCUUCAUGCCUUCUUCACCUUCUCCGGAAGGUAUUGAAGGCUCGAAGCUUUCUGUGAAGCCGGCCUGUGAGGGAUCCGGUGGAGAGAUCACUAGCGAGAAUGAUGACAUGAGUAGCGACAAAGAGUGUGAGAGACACUCUCGCCGAAAGUCCAAGGGUUCCUGCUUAAAGCUAAUCUGAGCAGGGUAAGCCGGCCCCUAAGCCGAGGCCGAAAGGCGUAGGCGAUGGGAACCAGGUUAAUAUUCCUGGGCCAGUGGGAUGUGACGGAUUGUGAAGGUUGUUCACCCUUAUCGGAUUGGGUGGGCCGCUAAUCAGUCCCAGGAAAUAGCCCCACAUGAGACCGUACCCUAAACCGACACAGGUGGACUGGUAGAGAAUACCAAGGCGCUUGAGAGAACGAUGUUGAAGGAACUCGGCAAAAUACCUCCGUAAGUUCGCGAGAAGGAGGCCCGGGUUCAAGGCAACUUGGAUCCGGGGGCACAAACCAGGGGGUGGCGACUGUUUACUAAAAACACAGGGCUCUGCGAAGUCGCAAGACGACGUAUAGGGUCUGACGCCUGCCCGGUGCCUGAAGGUUAAAAGGAGGGGUGCAAGCUCCGAAUUGAAGCCCAGGUAAACGGCGGCCGUAACUAUAACGGUCCUAAGGUAGCGAAAUUCCUUGUCGGGUAAGUUCCGACCUGCACGAAUGGCGUAACGACUUCCCCGCUGUCUCCAACAUCGACUCAGCGAAAUUGAAUUGCCUGUCAAGAUGCAGGCUUCCCGCGGUUAGACGGAAAGACCCCGUGCACCUUUACUACAGCUUCACACUGGCAUCAGGCACAACAUGUGCAGGAUAGGUGGUAGACUUCGAAGCAGGGACGCCAGUUCCUGUGGAGUCAUCCUUGAGAUACCACCCUUGUUCUGCUUGAUGUCUAACCGCGAUCCCUUAUCGGGUUCCGGGACCCUGUGUGGCGGGUAGUUUGACUGGGGCGGUCGCCUCCUAAAGCGUAACGGAGGCGCGCGAAGGUUGGCUCAGAGCGGUCGGAAAUCGCUCGUUGAGUGCAAUGGCAGAAGCCAGCCUGACUGCGAGACUGACAAGUCGAGCAGAGUCGAAAGACGGCCAUAGUGAUCCGGUGGUCCCGAGUGGAAGGGCCAUCGCUCAACGGAUAAAAGGUACGCCGGGGAUAACAGGCUGAUACUGCCCAAGAGUCCAUAUCGACGGCAGUGUUUGGCACCUCGAUGUCGGCUCAUCUCAUCCUGGGGCUGGAGCAGGUCCCAAGGGUACGGCUGUUCGCCGUUUAAAGAGGUACGUGAGCUGGGUUUAGAACGUCGUGAGACAGUUCGGUCCCUAUCUGCCGUGGGUGUAGGAUACUUGAGAGGAGUUGCCCCUAGUACGAGAGGACCGGGGUGAACGAUCCACUGGUGGACCAGUUGUUAUGCCAAUAGCAGUGCUGGGUAGCUAUGAUCGGAAAGGAUAACCGCUGAAGGCAUCUAAGCGGGAAGCCCCCCUCAAAACAAGGUAUCCCUGAGGGCCGUGGUAGACCACCACGUCGAUAGGCCGGAGAUGUAAGCACAGCAAUGUGUUCAGUUGACCGGUACUAAUGGCCCGAUAGGCUUGAUCCGUUCCAG